This 543-nucleotide ribosomal RNA is filed under the name uncultured bacterium. RNAcentral describes it as "partial 16S ribosomal RNA". It matches the Rfam family "Bacterial small subunit ribosomal RNA", at positions 355 to 885 of the family's 1533-position model. The record is from RNAcentral.
UGGGGAAUAUUGCACAAUGGGCGCAAGCCUGAUGCAGCCAUGCCGCGUGUGUGAAGAAGGCCUUCGGGUUGUAAAGCACUUUCAGCGAGGAGGAAGGUGGUGGACUUAAUACGUUCAUCAAUUGACGUUACUCGCAGAAGAAGCACCGGCUAACUCCGUGCCAGCAGCCGCGGUAAUACGGAGGGUGCAAGCGUUAAUCGGAAUUACUGGGCGUAAAGCGCACGCAGGCGGUUUGUUAAGUCAGAUGUGAAAUCCCCGGGCUCAACCUGGGAACUGCAUUUGAAACUGGCAAGCUAGAGUCUCGUAGAGGGGGGUAGAAUUCCAGGUGUAGCGGUGAAAUGCGUAGAGAUCUGGAGGAAUACCGGUGGCGAAGGCGGCCCCCUGGACGAAGACUGACGCUCAGGUGCGAAAAGCGUGGGGAGCAAAACAGGAUUAGAUACCCUGGUAGUCCACGCUGUAAAACGAUGUCGAUUUUGGAGGUUGUGCCCCUUGAGGCGUGGCUUCCGGAGCUAACGCGUUAAAUCGACCGCCUGGGGAGUACGG